GACGAACCACCCAAACGUUAUUCGGAAUUACUGGGCUUAAAGAGUGCGUAGGCGGUCUUGUAAGUAGGGUGUGAAAUCCCACAGCUCAACUGUGGAACUGCGCUCUAAACUACAUGACUAGAGGGAUAUAGAGGUGAGCGGAACUGAUGGUGGAGCGGUGAAAUGCGUUGAUAUCAUCAGGAACACCGGAGGCGAAGGCGGCUCACUGGGUAUCUUCUGACGCUGAGGUACGAAAGCUAGGGGAGCGAACGGG
This 253-nucleotide ribosomal RNA is filed under the name uncultured bacterium. RNAcentral's name for it is "partial 16S ribosomal RNA". It matches the Rfam family "Bacterial small subunit ribosomal RNA", at positions 524 to 776 of the family's 1533-position model. RNAcentral also lists the same sequence under 1 other name. The record is from RNAcentral.